UCGAGAAUUUUUCUCAAUGGGGGAAACCCUGAAGGAGCGACGCCGCGUGGAGGAUGAAGGUCUUCGGAUUGUAAACUCCUGUCAUCAGAGAACAAGGGCGCGGGUAACCGCGCUUUGAUAGUAUUUGAAGAGGAAGAGACGGCUAACUCUGUGCCAGCAGCCGCGGUAAUACAGAGGUCUCAAGCGUUGUUCGGAUUUAUUGGGCGUAAAGGGUGCGUAGGCGGCGGGGUAAGUGAGGUGUGAAAUCCCAGAGCUCAACUCUGGAACUGCACUUUAUACUGCUCUGCUUGAGUCUUGGAGAGGAGACUGGAAUUUACGGUGUAGCAGUGAAAUGCGUAGAUAUCGUAAGGAAGACCAGUGGCGAAGGCGAGUCUCUGGACAAAGACUGACGCUGAGGCACGAAGGCCAGGGGAGCAAACGG
Molecule: ribosomal RNA, 421 nt
Filed under: uncultured bacterium
Lineage: Bacteria
Description: bacterial SSU rRNA
Rfam family: Bacterial small subunit ribosomal RNA
Source: RNAcentral